CGACCCCAGGUCAGGCGGGGUUACCCGCUGAAUUUAAGCAUAUCAAUAAGCGGAGGAAAAGAAACUUACGAGGAUUCCCCUAGUAACGGCGAGCGAACCGGGAACAGCCCAGCUUGAGAAUCGGGCGCCGUCGGCGUUCGA
Molecule: ribosomal RNA, 141 nt
Filed under: Malus sieversii
Lineage: Eukaryota; Viridiplantae; Streptophyta; Magnoliopsida; Rosales; Rosaceae
Also listed under: 1 other name
Description: partial 28S ribosomal RNA
Rfam family: Eukaryotic large subunit ribosomal RNA
Source: RNAcentral